AUUGAACGCUGGCGGUAGGCCUAACACAUGCAAGUCGAACGGCAGCACAGUAAGAGCUUGCUCUUACGGGUGGCGAGUGGCGGACGGGUGAGGAAUACAUCGGAAUCUACUUUUUCGUGGGGGAUAACGUAGGGAAACUUACGCUAAUACCGCAUACGACCUACGGGUGAAAGCAGGGGAUCUUCGGACCUUGCGCGAUUGAAUGAGGCGAUGUCGGAUUAGCUAGUUGGCGGGGUAAAGGCCCACCAAGGCGACGAUCCGUAGCUGGUCUGAGAGGAUGAUCAGCCACACUGGAACUGAGACACGGUCCAGACUCCUACGGGAGGCAGCAGUGGGGAAUAUUGGACAAUGGGCGCAAGCCUGAUCCAGCCAUACCGCGUGGGUGAAGAAGGCCUUCGGGUUGUAAAGCCCUUUUGUUGGGAAAGAAAAGCAGCAGGUUAAUACCCCGCUGUUCUGACGGUACCCAAAGAAUAAGCACCGGCUAACUUCGUG
RNAcentral lists this ribosomal RNA (492 nucleotides) under uncultured bacterium. RNAcentral describes it as "partial 16S ribosomal RNA". It matches the Rfam family "Bacterial small subunit ribosomal RNA", at positions 30 to 507 of the family's 1533-position model. The record is from RNAcentral.